This is a long non-coding RNA of Crotalus tigris (Tiger rattlesnake), 393 nucleotides long. RefSeq lists it as uncharacterized. NCBI's taxonomy places the organism in Eukaryota, Metazoa, Chordata, Lepidosauria, Squamata, Viperidae. The transcript is spliced from 3 exons. The record is from RefSeq and is a predicted model, not a curated record.
CGCAAGUGUGAUCUGGAGCAGCUCUGCAGCUUCUGAUUGGUGUGUCUCUGGAAAUACCAAGAGCAAUGAAGAAAGCAGAGGGAGCACCUCCAUGAAAUAACAGCAAGGCAUCAGGAGGAGCUGGUGGAAAAGAAUGCCAGAAUAACUGCUGCUUGCCCAGCUGACCCCUGACACGGCAACAUUAAUAGAGAGACUGAGGUAACGGGAGAUGGAGGCAAUGGAGGAGGAAGAAGAGAUGAGCUCCCAGGUACAUCUAUUCACAAACAUUCGACCAACAUAGACAAAGAUGAGAUGCCAUGUUUAUUCGACAAAAGUGAAAUAAUCAUAAUGACAGGCUGUUGUUUCAUAGGAGAUUUACAUAGGAGUCAAGCAAAAAAAAAAAAUAAUAAAAAA